Molecule: ribosomal RNA, 543 nt
Filed under: uncultured archaeon
Lineage: Archaea
Description: bacterial SSU rRNA
Rfam family: Archaeal small subunit ribosomal RNA
Source: RNAcentral
UCGGCAGACCGCUCAGUAACACGCGGAUAAUAUGCCCUAAGGUGGAGGAUAACCUCGGGAAACUGAGAAUAAUACUCCAUAGAUCUAGGAUGCUGGAAUGCUUCUAGGUUGAAAACUCCGGUGCCUUAGGAUUAGUCUGCGGCGUAUCAGGUUGUAGUGGGUGUAACGGACCCACUAGCCGAUGACGCGUAAGGGCCUUGAGAGAGGAAGCCCUGAGAUGGACUCUGAGACAUGAGUCCAGGCCCUACGGGGCGCAGCAGUCGCGAAAACUUCACAAUGGGGGAAACCCCGAUGAGGGAAUUCCAAGUGUCAGCACAUUGUGUUGACUGUUCUCCCGUCUAAAAAACAGGAGAAGUAAGGGCCGGGUAAGACGGGUGCCAGCCGCCGCGGUAAUACCCGCGGCCCGAGUGGUGGUCGAUAUUAUUGAGCCUAAAACGUUCGUAGCCGGUCUUGUAAAUCCUUGGGUAAAUCGGCCAGCUUAACUGUCCGAAGUCCGGGGAGACUGCAAGACUUGGGAUCGGGAGAGGUCAGAGGUACUUCUGG